This 503-nucleotide ribosomal RNA is filed under the name uncultured bacterium. Its description in RNAcentral is "partial 16S ribosomal RNA". It matches the Rfam family "Bacterial small subunit ribosomal RNA", at positions 30 to 523 of the family's 1533-position model. The record is from RNAcentral.
AUUGAACGCUGGCGGCAGGCUUAACACAUGCAAGUCGAGCGGGGUGAUGGUGCUUGCACUAUCACUUAGCGGCGGACGGGUGAGUAAUGCUUAGGAAUCUGCCUAUUAGUGGGGGACAACAUCUCGAAAGGGAUGCUAAUACCGCAUACGUCCUACGGGGGAAAGCAGGGGAUCACUUGUGACCUUGCGCUAAUAGAUGAGCCUAAGUCGGAUUAGCUAGUUGGUGGGGUAAAGGCCUACCAAGGCGACGAUCUGUAGCGGGUUUGAGAGGAUGAUCCGCCACACUGGGACUGAGACACGGCCCAGACUCCUACGGGAGGCAGCAGUGGGGAAUAUUGGACAAUGGGGGGAACCCUGAUCCAGCCAUGCCGCGUGUGUGAAGAAGGCCUUAUGGUUGUAAAGCACUUUAAGCGAGGAGGAGGCUCUUUUGGUUAAUACCCAGAAUGAGUGGACGUUACUCGCAGAAUAAGCACCGGCUAACUCUGUGCCAGCCGCCGCAGUAA